This 190-nucleotide small nuclear RNA is filed under the name Gopherus evgoodei (Goodes thornscrub tortoise). Its description in RNAcentral is "U2 spliceosomal RNA (ENSGEVG00005018367.1)". It matches the Rfam family "U2 spliceosomal RNA". From Rfam's summary of the family: U2 is a small nuclear RNA (snRNA) component of the spliceosome (involved in pre-mRNA splicing). Complementary binding between U2 snRNA (in an area lying towards the 5' end but 3' to hairpin I) and the branchpoint sequence (BPS) of the intron results the bulging out of an unpaired adenosine, on the BPS, which initiates a nucleophilic attack at the intronic 5' splice site, thus starting the first of two transesterification reactions that mediate splicing. Lineage: Eukaryota; Metazoa; Chordata; Testudines; Testudinidae. The record is from Rfam by way of RNAcentral.
AUCGUUUAUUUUCAAAUAUUCACUAAUAAACAUUAAAUCUGUUCUUAUCAGUUUAAUAUCUGAUAUGUCCUUUAUUUGAGGACUGUAUAUUAAAUGGAUUUUUGAAACAGGGGGUUGGAAUAGGAGCUUGCUCUAUCCACCCCAUGCAUUGACCUGGUAUUGCAGUGCCUCCAGGAGCGGUGCCUUUCCU